UCGAACGCAGUAGCAAUACUGAGUGGCAGACGGGUGAGUAACAUGUGGGAAUCUGCCUUGUGGUUCAGGACAACAUUGGGAAACCGAUGCUAAUACUGGAUAAGCCCUUACGGGGAAAGUUUUAAUGCCAUAAGAUGAGCCCGCAUUUGAUUAGUUAGUUGGUGAGGUAAUGGCUCACCAAGACAAUGAUCAAUAGCUGAUCUGAGAGGAUGAUCAGCCACACUGGGACUGAGACACGGCCCAGACUCCUACGGGAGGCAGCAGUGGGGAAUCUUGCACAAUGGAGGAAACUCUGAUGCAGCGAUGCCGCGUGAGUGAAGAAGGCCUUUGGGUUGUAAAGCUCUUUUGUAGGGGAAGAUAAUGACUGUACCCUAAGAAUAAGGUCCGGCUAACUUCGUGCCAGCAGCCGCGGUAAUACGAAGGGACCUAGCGUAGUUCGGAAUUACUGGGCGUAAAGCGCGCGUAGGCCGUUGAGUUAGUUAAUUGUGAAAUCCCAAAGCUUAACUUUGGAACUGCAAUUAAAACUGCUCGACUAGAGUUUGAUAGAGGAAAGCGGAAUACAUAGUGUAGAGGUGAAAUUCGUAGAUAUUAUGUAGAACACCAGUUGCGAAGGCGGCUUUCUGGAUCAACACUGACGCUGAGGCGCGAAAGUAUGGGUAGCAAAGAGGAUUAGAUACCCUCGUAGUCCAUACCAUAAACGAUGAUUGCUAGAUGUUGGAAAUUUAUUUUCAGUAUCGCAGCUAACGCAUUAAGCAAUCCGCCUGGGGAGUACGACCGCAAGGUUAAAACUCAAAUGAAUUGACGGGGACCCGCACAAGCGGUGGAGCAUGUGGUUUAAUUCGAAGAUACGCGCAGAACCUUACCAACCCUUGACAUGUCUGUCGCGAGUUUAG
Molecule: ribosomal RNA, 893 nt
Filed under: uncultured organism
Description: bacterial SSU rRNA
Rfam family: Bacterial small subunit ribosomal RNA
Source: RNAcentral